CCUACGGGGGGCAGCAGUAAGGAAUAUUGGUCAAUGGACGAAAGUCUGAACCAGCCAUGCCGCGUGGAGGAUGAAGGUCCUCUGGAUUGUAAACUUCUUUUAUAUGGGACGAAAAAAGGGUUUUCUAACUCGUCUGACGGUACCAUAUGAAUAAGCACCGGCUAACUCCGUGCCAGCAGCCGCGGUAAUACGGAGGGUGCAAGCGUUAUCCGGAUUCACUGGGUUUAAAGGGUGCGUAGGUGGGUUGGUAAGUCAGUGGUGAAAUCUCCGAGCUUAACUUGGAAACUGCCAUUGAUACUAUCAGUCUUGAAUAUUGUGGAGGUCAGCGGAAUAUGUCAUGUAGCGGUGAAAUGCUUAGAUAUGACAUAGAACACCAAUUGCGAAGGCAGCUGGCUACACAUCUAUUGACACUGAGGCACGAAAGCGUGGGGAUCAAACAGGAUUAGAUACCCUGGUAGUC
This 460-nucleotide ribosomal RNA is filed under the name uncultured Chitinophagaceae bacterium. RNAcentral describes it as "bacterial SSU rRNA". It matches the Rfam family "Bacterial small subunit ribosomal RNA", at positions 338 to 795 of the family's 1533-position model. Lineage: Bacteria; Pseudomonadati; Bacteroidota; Chitinophagia; Chitinophagales; Chitinophagaceae. The record is from RNAcentral.